This is a non-coding RNA of Maylandia zebra (zebra mbuna), 493 nucleotides long. Lineage: Eukaryota; Metazoa; Chordata; Actinopteri; Cichliformes; Cichlidae. The record is from RefSeq and is a predicted model, not a curated record.
CAGUCUGAGUGUGCUUCAUUAGCGUCAUGAAACAUGUUUGCUGUAACAUCUCCGUGGCUCUGCUGGACUUUACUGUCUGUCUCCCUCGUGGGCUUUACCUGUGCGGGCCACAAAAAACAUCACAGCUGAGUCUGGAAAGAACGUCACUCUGACAUGUCGAGCUCCAAAUAACAACAUAGUAGUAGAAUGGAGCAGAGCUGACCUGCAGCCAGAAUAUGUUCUUUUGUACCGAGACAAGCAGUUUAUUCGAGAUCACCAGCAUCUAUCUUUUAAGAACCGGGUGGAUCUGCAGGACAGACAGAUGAAGGAUGGAGACGUGUCUUUGAUUCUGAAGAAUGUGACGACUGCUGAUAGUGGAACAUAUAAGUGUCGUGUCUUCAUGAGAGGAGCAAACCGCAGGAAGAGAGCUCAUCUGAAGACUGAUCCUAUCACCACCAUCAGCUUAAAUGUUUCUCCAGGUCAGACAGGAGGACACACAGAGGAUGGAGGGAAG